AUCUGGCUGGCUCAGUUGGUAGAGCAUGUGACUCUUGAUCUCAAGGUCGUGAGUUUGAGCCCCAUGUUGGGCA
This 73-nucleotide transfer RNA is filed under the name Mustela putorius furo (domestic ferret). It matches the Rfam family "tRNA". Rfam says of the family: Transfer RNA (tRNA) molecules are approximately 80 nucleotides in length. Their secondary structure includes four short double-helical elements and three loops (D, anti-codon, and T loops). Lineage: Eukaryota; Metazoa; Chordata; Mammalia; Carnivora; Mustelidae. The record is from Rfam by way of RNAcentral.